This 253-nucleotide ribosomal RNA is filed under the name uncultured bacterium. RNAcentral's name for it is "partial 16S ribosomal RNA". It matches the Rfam family "Bacterial small subunit ribosomal RNA", at positions 524 to 776 of the family's 1533-position model. The record is from RNAcentral.
UACGUAGGGUGCGAGCGUUGUCCGGAAUUAUUGGGCGUAAAGAGCUCGUAGGCGGCUUGUCACGUCGGGUGUGAAAGACCGGGGCUUAACCCCGGUUCUGCAUUCGAUACGGGCUAGCUAGAGUGUGGUAGGGGAGAUCGGAAUUCCUGGUGUAGCGGUGAAAUGCGCAGAUAUCAGGAGGAACACCGGUGGCGAAGGCGGAUCUCUGGGCCAUUACUGACGCUGAGGAGCGAGAGCGUGGGGAGCGAACAGG